UACAGAGGUGGCUAGCGUUGUUCGGAUUUAUUGGGCGUAAAGGGUCCGUAGGUGGCCUGAAAAGUCGGAUGUGAAAGCCCACAGCUCAACUGUGGAACGGCAUUCGAAACUUUCAGGCUCGAGUGUGAAAGGGGUAAGGGGAAUUCCCGGUGUAAGGGUGAAAUCUGUAGAGAUCGGGAAGAACACCAGUCGCGAAGGCGCCUUACUGGUUCACAACUGACACUGAGGGACGAAAGCUAGGGGAG
Molecule: ribosomal RNA, 245 nt
Filed under: uncultured bacterium
Lineage: Bacteria
Description: partial 16S ribosomal RNA
Rfam family: Bacterial small subunit ribosomal RNA
Source: RNAcentral